AAGUCCCAAAAAUCCAACUCUUUCUCUGUAGAGACCCUUCCUCAAGCUCUGAGCAAUGACUCAAACUUCCACAAUUAUUCAAAAUUAUUCAGUAAUUCCUAAAAAUGGAGCAGUUCCAAAAUGAUUCAGAUCCCACUGAAAAUGGCUCAGUUGCUUCCAAAAAUAUUGGAAGGGCCAGUAUUGAACCUGUAUGGGACGAGUAAGAACUAGUAUGGAACCAGGAAGGGAUUGGUCCUAGGCCAGUGCAGGAGCAGUAUGCAGCCAGUAGGGCCAGUGUGGGACCAGUAUGACACCAGUAUGGGACCAGUACUUGACCAGUGUUGGACCAAUGUAGGACCAGUCCAGGGCAGUAUGGGACCAGUAGAAACCAAACCAUGCAAAUACAGGAUCUUGAUGGGACUGGGACUGGAACACUGUGGGCCAGUGCAGACAAAUACAGGCCAGUACAAACCAGUGUGAGGCAGUAGAGAACAGCACAAACCAGUAUGGGACCAGUACACACCAGUGAGGGCUAAUAUGACCAGUGUACAACCAGUGUGGACCAGUAUGGGGCCAGCAGAGGCCUACACGAGCCAGUGCUGGAUAAGUAUUGGACCAGUAUGGGAACCAGUAAGGACCUGUAUAGGCCAGUACAGGCAAGUACUGGGCCAGUAUGAGACCACUGUGGGUGAGUACAGCAGCAAUAUGUGAUUAGUUCAAGCUGGGCUGGACCAGUAAGGGACCAGUAAGGGGCUAUUCCAGGACCAGUAUGGAAUCAGUAGGAGCCCAGUGCAGAGCCAGAUGUGCAAGAGGCUGCAGGAGAGAUGUGGGACAGCAGGUGGUUCUUCCAAAGCUGUUUAUUGCAUGGAGCAAGUGACAGCAUUCGUUGGGUCAUGGGGAACAGAGCCACGUCUAAAGCUGCCAGCUCCAGCUUAGAGACAAGCCUGGAGCCACUUCAGCUCUACUUCCAAUGUAUUCUAUGGUUUUCUUUGCUGAGCAUCUUAAUCCACAAAAACCAAUCAGCAUCAUACACAAUACCUUUACUAUUACUACUAUCAUGACUAUGUUAUGUUACAGUUUAAGCUUAAGGUUGUUUUUGUGUUUUCUUGCUGUGGAAAAUUCUUCGACUUUGUUUCUACUUGGGGGAAUACAGCAGCAGUCACUCGGGCUUGGAAAUAAAGUAAAAGGAUUAAGAAUUGUGAACGCCCUUGCUGGAAACUUGGGUAAGGACCAUGAGUUACAACAGAAAAGAAGGUGGCUACUAGAAGAAGAUAAGCCCACUCCAGAGAUGGACUUGACAACAAUUAUCACUCGAUAUGGAUCUAGAUUUCAUCAUCCGGGGUAUGCAUCCCAAUACGAGAUUCCCCAAAAUCGAAUCAAGUAUUCAUCUCUUCUCGAAAAUCCAAUCAACCAUCCAGCAGUAAGGACAAAAUUUCAUGAAUAUAGUGAAAGAGUGGAAAAAGGACAAAGAAGUAUGAAGCAAUGCCCUGUCCAACCAAAACUGUAUAUAAACUGACCCUGCUGGGACUGAAUCUGUGAACAGGGGAGCUCCAGUGCAAUAGAGGCCGGGGCUGGGUUCACCCAGUGCCGACCCCGGGCUCAACACUGACUUUGUUUGUGGCUUUUUCAGUUUUUUGCAAAACUUGUUAAUAAAUUUUAUUUUUGUAAAUUAUUAUUAAAAUUCAUUUUUUGAAUUGGA
Prinia subflava (tawny-flanked prinia) is the source of this 1678-nucleotide long non-coding RNA. RefSeq lists it as uncharacterized. Lineage: Eukaryota; Metazoa; Chordata; Aves; Passeriformes; Cisticolidae. The transcript has 2 exons. The record is from RefSeq and is a predicted model, not a curated record.